This 1855-nucleotide long non-coding RNA is filed under the name Homo sapiens (human). RNAcentral describes it as "Long non-coding RNA containing retained intron meg3". The stretch from base 536 to 640 matches the Rfam family "Maternally expressed 3 conserved region 2". The record is from RNAcentral. Lineage: Eukaryota; Metazoa; Chordata; Mammalia; Primates; Hominidae.
AGCCCCUAGCGCAGACGGCGGAGAGCAGAGAGGGAGCGCGCCUUGGCUCGCUGGCCUUGGCGGCGGCUCCUCAGGAGAGCUGGGGCGCCCACGAGAGGAUCCCUCACCCGGGUCUCUCCUCAGGGAUGACAUCAUCCGUCCACCUCCUUGUCUUCAAGGACCACCUCCUCUCCAUGCUGAGCUGCUGCCAAGGGGCCUGCUGCCCAUCUACACCUCACGAGGGCACUAGGAGCACGGUUUCCUGGAUCCCACCAACAUACAAAGCAGCCACUCACUGACCCCCAGGACCAGGAUGGCAAAGGAUGAAGAGGACCGGAACUGACCAGCCAGCUGUCCCUCUUACCUAAAGACUUAAACCAAUGCCCUAGUGAGGGGGCAUUGGGCAUUAAGCCCUGACCUUUGCUAUGCUCAUACUUUGACUCUAUGAGUACUUUCCUAUAAGUCUUUGCUUGUGUUCACCUGCUAGCAAACUGGAGUGUUUCCCUCCCCAAGGGGGUGUCAGUCUUUGUCGACUGACUCUGUCAUCACCCUUAUGAUGUCCUGAAUGGAAGGAUCCCUUUGGGAAAUUCUCAGGAGGGGGACCUGGGCCAAGGGCUUGGCCAGCAUCCUGCUGGCAACUCCAAGGCCCUGGGUGGGCUUCUGGAAUGAGCAUGCUACUGAAUCACCAAAGGCACGCCCGACCUCUCUGAAGAUCUUCCUAUCCUUUUCUGGGGGAAUGGGGUCGAUGAGAGCAACCUCCUAGGGUUGUUGUGAGAAUUAAAUGAGAUAAAAGAGGCCUCAGGCAGGAUCUGGCAUAGAGGAGGUGAUCAGCAAAUGUUUGUUGAAAAGGUUUGACAGGUCAGUCCCUUCCCACCCCUCUUGCUUGUCUUACUUGUCUUAUUUAUUCUCCAACAGCACUCCAGGCAGCCCUUGUCCACGGGCUCUCCUUGCAUCAGCCAAGCUUCUUGAAAGGCCUGUCUACACUUGCUGUCUUCCUUCCUCACCUCCAAUUUCCUCUUCAACCCACUGCUUCCUGACUCGCUCUACUCCGUGGAAGCACGCUCACAAAGGGCUAAUCUCGGGCCUUGUCGAAGGAAGAGGCUGCAGACGUUAAUGAGGUUAGCUGCUGGAUUCCAGUAUUCGUCGCAUAAGGAUCCUUCUUUGUCUGCGAAGGAAAAACACACUGAUUAUCAUAAUGAGUUCCUGACCUGGCCAUCCCGGGGUGCCCUUGACCAGCCCCGUGUCUCCUCAGGGUGUCCCAGCACCAGCCUGGCACAGAGUGGGGCUCAGUUAGAGUAUGUGGGAUGUUGGUUUCGCCAGGCACGUGGGCCGUGGCCCGGCUGGGUCGGCUGAAGAACUGCGGAUGGAAGCUGCGGAAGAGGCCCUGAUGGGGCCCACCAUCCCGGACCCAAGUCUUCUUCCUGGCGGGCCUCUCGUCUCCUUCCUGGUUUGGGCGGAAGCCAUCACCUGGAUGCCUACGUGGGAAGGGACCUCGAAUGUGGGACCCCAGCCCCUCUCCAGCUCGAAAUCCCUCCACAGCCACGGGGACACCCUGCACCUAUUCCCACGGGACAGGCUGGACCCAGAGACUCUGGACCCGGGGCCUCCCCUUGAGUAGAGACCCGCCCUCUGACUGAUGGACGCCGCUGACCUGGGGUCAGACCCGUGGGCUGGACCCCUGCCCACCCCGCAGGAACCCUGAGGCCUAGGGGAGCUGUUGAGCCUUCAGUGUCUGCAUGUGGGAAGUGGGCUCCUUCACCUACCUCACAGGGCUGUUGUGAGGGGCGCUGUGAUGCGGUUCCAAAGCACAGGGCUUGGCGCACCCCACUGUGCUCUCAAUAAAUGUGUUUCCUGUCUUAACAAAAAAAAAAAAAAA